Molecule: long non-coding RNA, 1499 nt
Organism: Eriocheir sinensis (Chinese mitten crab)
Lineage: Eukaryota; Metazoa; Arthropoda; Malacostraca; Decapoda; Varunidae
Exons: 3
Source: RefSeq, a predicted model, not a curated record
UUCUUUUGCGAUGUUUUUUUUCCCUUUUUCCCAUUUUUUUGGGGUGUUCCUUUCUAUAUCAUCCCUUUUUGAUGUUCUUUGGUCUGGAUGAGCCUCUUUCUCCCCAGAAAAGACUCAUCCAUAAUUUUGGAGAUGUUAGGGCCUGAAGGUGGAUGAUCUGUGUUUUUUAUUUUAUUUUCUUGAUGUUUUGUUACUAUAUUCUCCUUCUUCUGGUGUUCCUUUUUAUUUUCCUUUUCUUUGGUGUUCCCAUCACGUGGAUUGUCUACGACAUCUAACGAGCACCACAAGCCCCGGUUUAUUGUUCGGAGUUUCCUCUCCUAGGCAGACUGCCUACCACGGCUGACGAGCUCCACCUGCCCGGGUUUAUUGUUCGGAGUUUGCUCUCCUAGGUGUAUUACCUAUGACGGCUCACGAGCCCAACCUGCCCGGGUUUAUUGUUCGGAGUUUGCUCUCCUAGGUGAAUUGCCUACCACGGCUAACGAACCUCACCUGCCCGGUUUUGUAAUCGGAGUUUGCUCUCCUAGGUGAACUGCUUUCGCUAACGACCUCCACCUGCCCGGGUUUGUAAUCGGAGUUUGCUCUCCUAGAUGAAUUGCUUUCGCUAACGACCUCCACCUGCCCGGAUUUGUAAUCGGAGUUUGCUCUCCUAGAUGAACUGCUCACGCUAACGACCUCCACCUGCCCGGUUUUGUAAUCGGAGUUUGCUCUCCUAGGUGAACUGCUCACGCUAACGACCUCCACCUGCCCGGUUUUGUAAUCGGAGUUUGCUCUCCUAGAUGAACUGCUUUCGCUAACGACCUCCACCUGCCCGGGUUUGUUGUUCGGAGUUUGCUCUCCUAGGUGUAUUACCUAUGACGGCUCACGAGCCCAACCUGCCCGGGUUUAUUGUUCGGAGUUUGCUCUCCUAGGUGAAUUGCCUACCACGGCUAACGAACCUCACCUGCCCUGGUUUGUUGUUCGGAGUUUGCUCUCCUAGGUGAAUUGCCUACCACGGCUAACGAACCUCACCUGCCCGGGUUUGUUGUUCGGAGUUUGCUCUCCUAGGCAGAUUUCCUACCACGGCUAACGAGCCCCACCUGCCCGGCGUUGUAGCCGAAGGAUCUCCGGCACCUCCGUCAGGGUCCCGAUGGACGCCGAGGCGCCUUGCCGGGAGCCCUCCAGUCCUGCCAUGCUCGCCUGGGAGACCUUGGGCUCGCUGGCGCUCCACCGCCCCGCCGAUUCGAAUAGGGCGGAUGCAAGAACUCGCUUCUUAAAACUUCCAGACUGGAUUAUAAAAUGAAUCAUAAAUGCCGUGAAGGCGCCGGUCACCGCGUUUAUCGGUUCUUGGAUGAAGGACCGAUUGGCCUCGGGGACGCGCACAAGCAUCAUAAGGAAUCCUCGGCGCGGCUUCCGGCGCAUCAUCCUUUUCCCUUUUCUUUCUUACUUCCAAUUUUUCUUUUUAAUUAUAUUUUCUUUCUCUGAUUGACUGAUUGAUUGAUUUUACAUAGUAAGAAUUGGUU